Molecule: ribosomal RNA, 247 nt
Filed under: uncultured bacterium
Lineage: Bacteria
Description: partial small subunit ribosomal RNA
Rfam family: Bacterial small subunit ribosomal RNA
Source: RNAcentral
AGAAUCAACGCUGGCGGCGUGCCUAACACAUGCAAGUCGAACGAGAAAGGGACUUCGGUCCUGAGUAUAGUGGCGCACGGGUGAGUAACACGUGAAUAAUCUACCUCCGAGUGGGGGAAUAGCUGAGAGAAAUCUUAGCUAAUACCGCAGUAACACUUACGAGUCAAAGCAGCAAUGCGCUUGGAGAGGAGUUCGCGGCCGAUUAGUUAGUUGGCGGGGUAAUGGCCCACCAAGACGAUGAUCGGUA